Molecule: long non-coding RNA, 263 nt
Filed under: Brachypodium distachyon (stiff brome)
Lineage: Eukaryota; Viridiplantae; Streptophyta; Magnoliopsida; Poales; Poaceae
Description: long non-coding RNA (BDIS_LNC005369)
Source: RNAcentral
CUGGAGCAGUCGAUGUUGGGGCUGAUGGUGUAGGGGAUGUUGACGCCGCACUUGGAGGGGAUGCUGCUGGCCUUGCCGACGUCGAGACCCUUCACGCCGCGGGCGGCGGUCUUGAGGCAGUUGCAGGCGGUGCGCUUGUCGGCGGUGGACCUGGCCUGGGAGUUGAGGCUCCUCACGCCCGAGCAGCACGCCCCGGACGGCCCCGCGCCCGUGCCCCUCACAUACGCUAUGCACGGCCCCACGGCAGAGUUCACCUGCCCGCA